CUGCGCUGCAGCAGGGCCACGUACUGGGCCCUCACGUGGGUGGGGAUGACCAGCUCCUCCAUGUCGGCACUGGGAGCAGCUGGCAGGGCUGGCCCUGGGCAAUGAGGGGCUUAGCACCCGGGCCAGCGGCUGCGGAGGGUGUACUGGGUCCCCCAGCAGUGCCAGCCCACCGGCGCUGUGCUUGAUUUCUCACCCGGCCUUAAUCUACGUUGAAGGGUUGUAGUGUGAAGCAAAUGAGAUAAGGCAUUUGAGCAGUGUUUUAUUCAGACUGUGUGUUGGAGGAGGCUUGGGAGGGUCUGAGGGAGAUUAUGAGGGGAAGUCGGCAGCGAAACUUCCCCACCUAAGCCAGCCCUGGGCACUGCCUCUCAGUAGGAGAGGAUUUAUUUAUCGCUCUGUGGCAUGGAAAUGCUAUUUCUUCUUAACAGCCUUCUCAUUUGGUCUCCAUGUUUUGCCUGGGUUGGGAGAUAGCUUUUAAAACCCAGGGCUCAAUUCACCUCCCCAGUGACCUCGCCUCACUCCACCAGAUGGAAUGCCACACCUCCAUCCAC
RNAcentral lists this long non-coding RNA (548 nucleotides) under Pan troglodytes (chimpanzee). Its description in RNAcentral is "long non-coding RNA NONPTRT000698". Lineage: Eukaryota; Metazoa; Chordata; Mammalia; Primates; Hominidae. The record is from RNAcentral.